Molecule: long non-coding RNA, 1425 nt
Organism: Gorilla gorilla gorilla (western lowland gorilla)
Lineage: Eukaryota; Metazoa; Chordata; Mammalia; Primates; Hominidae
Exons: 3
Source: RefSeq, a predicted model, not a curated record
GCCAGGCCCCGCCCCUGCCCCCGCCCCCGCCCCCGCCCCGAGGCUCUCACGCCGCCCCCUCCGCCCGCCCGCCUGCUCGCACCUGCGCUCUUCCCGCCCCUCACCGCGGCCUGCAGCCGCGCUCACCGCCGCGGUGCGCCCAGGCGCCCCGGGACCCGUUAGUGCCCAGCCUGCGGGCCGACCGCGACCCCCGCCCGGCGCGAGCCUGCCCCCAGCUCUGCCGACACUUGACCCAGACCAGUCCCAACGCCCAGUGCGGCCGCCCGGGGAGCCGCGGGAGAGGAGGCGGCGGGGGGAGGAGGGAGAGGAGGGCCGAGCCGGCGGCCUGGGAGGCCCGGUUUUGAAGCCGCUUCUCUGCCCGAGUUAGGUUUCGCCCAGCGCAAUUUCUUUCUCUAUGUACUUUGCGAAUAAGUUUCGGAGCAUCGGUUAACAGCCUAUGGGUGAAAUUUGGCUUUCAUUCAUGAAUGAGAUUUUUCAGAGUAGAUGCUAAUGCUUUCAUUAGAAGGACUAAUGAAAGAUCGUCUGUCUUAUACUAAAAAGCCGGAGACACUUUUCUUCACCAUUUAGCAUUGCCUGUUGUGUAGUAAAUGUGCUUGGGAUUGUAACUGGAAUCACUUAAUAAAUGUGACUUGUAGCUAUAAAAAUAUUUGAGAAGCUUUUUGGCAAAUUAAAAUAUUAAAGAUCUUCAUACAAAUCUAGAUUUCUUUUCUCAACAGAUUUAUAACACUAUAGUAGCUUCAAUUCUGGAGUAAGAGCAAAACCCAGAAGUUGACCAAAAGAACAUUGUGGGCAAAUAAAAAUACAUGUGUUUUACUCGUGGGAGAAUCCCUCAGGUCCUCACUGAGUACCUGCUUGUAUUUUUUUGUUUAACUUUCUUGGCCUACAGAAAGUGGGAGCUGCAGAUUGGAGAGGGGUCUCAGUACUUAACUGUGAGGAAAAAAUGGAGUUUGGGGCAUACCCAUUGGGUUUACAUCACUUACAGUAAGUGUGUUUGGAGCAGAGUUUUAGUAUGCACUUCACACUUGCUGAUUGUGAACCCUAUUUUUUUUUUUUUUUCCCUGAGGCGGAGUUUUGCUCUUGUUGCCCAGGCUGGAGUUUAAAGUAUGGAAAUAUUACAGAGGAGGGAAUGUUUGACUUCAGGAACAGGUCAGAGAACGCUUCAUAGAUAUGCUGGCACCUGAGGAGGAUUUUGAGGAAUAAAUGGAAGUUUUCAGUGGAAGAGAUAGAUGGCAUUGUAGAUAAAAGAGAACAGCAUAGUUGAAGAUAUGAACAAGUAAACUGUGUGUUCAAGAAAUUUCAAGUUGUUUUUUCUUGGAGUACAUGCAAAAUCUGAAGAAAGAGGGUUGCUAGAGAAAGCCCUAACGUAUGCUAUUACAUUUAAUAAGUCAAAUAGUUGGCUUUUUGGGUAUGAAGUAUAUGUAAAAU